UACGUAGGGUGCGAGCGUUGUCCGGAAUUACUGGCGUAAGCGUGACGCAGGCGGUUGGGUCAGUCGCUGGUGAAAGCCCCACGCUCAACGUGGGAAUGGCCAACGAGACGGCCCGACUGGAGGCAGGGAGAGGCCGGUGGAAUUCCCGGUGUAGCGGUGAAAUGCGUAGAGAUCGGGAGGAAUACCGGUGGCGAAGCGACUCUCUGGACGGCAACUGACGCUGAGGCACGAAAGCGUGGGAGCAA
RNAcentral lists this ribosomal RNA (245 nucleotides) under uncultured bacterium. RNAcentral's name for it is "partial 16S ribosomal RNA". It matches the Rfam family "Bacterial small subunit ribosomal RNA", at positions 524 to 771 of the family's 1533-position model. The record is from RNAcentral.